This 1488-nucleotide ribosomal RNA is filed under the name Lactiplantibacillus argentoratensis. RNAcentral describes it as "bacterial SSU rRNA". It matches the Rfam family "Bacterial small subunit ribosomal RNA". Lineage: Bacteria; Bacillati; Bacillota; Bacilli; Lactobacillales; Lactobacillaceae. The record is from RNAcentral.
GACGAACGCUGGCGGCGUGCCUAAUACAUGCAAGUCGAACGAACUCUGGUAUUGAUUGGUGCUUGCAUCAUGAUUUACAUUUGAGUGAGUGGCGAACUGGUGAGUAACACGUGGGAAACCUGCCCAGAAGCGGGGGAUAACACCUGGAAACAGAUGCUAAUACCGCAUAACAACUUGGACCGCAUGGUCCGAGCUUGAAAGAUGGCUUCGGCUAUCACUUUUGGAUGGUCCCGCGGCGUAUUAGCUAGAUGGUGGGGUAACGGCUCACCAUGGCAAUGAUACGUAGCCGACCUGAGAGGGUAAUCGGCCACAUUGGGACUGAGACACGGCCCAAACUCCUACGGGAGGCAGCAGUAGGGAAUCUUCCACAAUGGACGAAAGUCUGAUGGAGCAACGCCGCGUGAGUGAAGAAGGGUUUCGGCUCGUAAAACUCUGUUGUUAAAGAAGAACAUAUCUGAGAGUAACUGUUCAGGUAUUGACGGUAUUUAACCAGAAAGCCACGGCUAACUACGUGCCAGCAGCCGCGGUAAUACGUAGGUGGCAAGCGUUGUCCGGAUUUAUUGGGCGUAAAGCGAGCGCAGGCGGUUUUUAAGUCUGAUGUGAAAGCCUUCGGCUCAACCGAAGAAGUGCAUCGGAAACUGGGAAACUUGAGUGCAGAAGAGGACAGUGGAACUCCAUGUGUAGCGGUGAAAUGCGUAGAUAUAUGGAAGAACACCAGUGGCGAAGGCGGCUGUCUGGUCUGUAACUGACGCUGAGGCUCGAAAGUAUGGGUAGCAAACAGGAUUAGAUACCCUGGUAGUCCAUACCGUAAACGAUGAAUGCUAAGUGUUGGAGGGUUUCCGCCCUUCAGUGCUGCAGCUAACGCAUUAAGCAUUCCGCCUGGGGAGUACGGCCGCAAGGCUGAAACUCAAAGGAAUUGACGGGGGCCCGCACAAGCGGUGGAGCAUGUGGUUUAAUUCGAAGCUACGCGAAGAACCUUACCAGGUCUUGACAUACUAUGAAAAUCUAAGAGAUUAGACGUUCCCUUCGGGGACAUGGAUACAGGUGGUGCAUGGUUGUCGUCAGCUCGUGUCGUGAGAUGUUGGGUUAAGUCCCGCAACGAGCGCAACCCUUAUUAUCAGUUGCCAGCAUUAAGUUGGGCACUCUGGUGAGACUGCCGGUGACAAACCGGAGGAAGGUGGGGAUGACGUCAAAUCAUCAUGCCCCUUAUGACCUGGGCUACACACGUGCUACAAUGGAUGGUACAACGAGUUGCGAACUCGCGAGAGUAAGCUAAUCUCUUAAAGCCAUUCUCAGUUCGGAUUGUAGGCUGCAACUCGCCUACAUGAAGUCGGAAUCGCUAGUAAUCGCGGAUCAGCAUGCCGCGGUGAAUACGUUCCCGGGCCUUGUACACACCGCCCGUCACACCAUGAGAGUUUGUAACACCCAAAGUCGGUGGGGUAACCUUUUAGGAACCAGCCGCCUAAGGUGGGACAGAUGAUUAGGGUG